This 462-nucleotide ribosomal RNA is filed under the name uncultured bacterium. RNAcentral's name for it is "partial 16S ribosomal RNA". It matches the Rfam family "Bacterial small subunit ribosomal RNA", at positions 355 to 833 of the family's 1533-position model. The record is from RNAcentral.
UGGGGAAUAUUGGACAAUGGGCGCAAGCCUGAUCCAGCCAUGCCGCGUGAGUGAUGAAGGCCUUAGGGUUGUAAAGCUCUUUCGCCGGUGAAGAUAAUGACGGUAACCGGAGAAGAAGCCCCGGCUAACUUCGUGCCAGCAGCCGCGGUAAUACGAAGGGGGCUAGCGUUGCUCGGAAUCACUGGGCGUAAAGCGCACGUAGGCGGAUCGUUAAGUCGGGGGUGAAAUCCUGGAGCUCAACUCCAGAACUGCCCUUGAUACUGGCGAUCUCGAGUUCGAGAGAGGUUGGUGGAACUCCGAGUGUAGAGGUGAAAUUCGUAGAUAUUCGGAAGAACACCAGUGGCGAAGGCGGCCAACUGGCUCGAUACUGACGCUGAGGUGCGAAAGCGUGGGGAGCAAACAGGAUUAGAUACCCCUGGUAGUCCACGCCGUAAACGAUGGAUGCUAGCCGUUGGGGGGUUU